AACGAACGCUGGCGGCGCGCCUAACACAUGCAAGUCGAACGAGAAGGCGUAGCAAUACGCUUGUAGAGUGGCGAACGGGUGGGUAAUACGUGGGUGACCUACCCUCGAGUGGGGAAUAACCCGCUGAAAGGCGGGCUAAUGCCGCGUACGCUUCCGUCCUCACGGGGACGGAAGGAAAGCUGUACCGUGGGUACGGCGCUCAAGGAUGGGCUCACGUCCUAUCAGCUUGUUGGUAGGGUAACGGCCUACCAAGGCUACGACGGGUAGCUGGUCUGAGAGGGUGACCGGCCACACUGGGACUGAGACACGGCCCAGACUCCUACGGGAGGCAGCAGUGGGGAAUCUUGCGCAAUGGGCGAAAGCCUGACGCAGCGACGCCGCGUGAGGGAUGACGGCCUC
This 399-nucleotide ribosomal RNA is filed under the name uncultured bacterium. Its description in RNAcentral is "bacterial SSU rRNA". It matches the Rfam family "Bacterial small subunit ribosomal RNA", at positions 28 to 418 of the family's 1533-position model. The record is from RNAcentral.